RNAcentral lists this long non-coding RNA (596 nucleotides) under Helianthus annuus (common sunflower). Its description in RNAcentral is "sRNA HanXRQr2_Chr05g0200131". The record is from RNAcentral. Lineage: Eukaryota; Viridiplantae; Streptophyta; Magnoliopsida; Asterales; Asteraceae.
GGAUCCUAAUCAAAAUAAUUCUCAAACACUCCACCUCUUUAUCAUUUUCUUCCAACAAAAUCAACAUACUUUUCCUUUCCUUCUCUCUCUAAAAAUCGGUCAAGAACACCACCCAACAUCUUCAUCUUUUUCAAAUUGAACACACAUUAUUAUCAAGCUAGCAUGAAUGAUUCAAGACUUUGGUGAAGGUUGGGAAUACAUUUGAAGCAUUUUAACAAGUCUUGGAGUUCUUGGAUCAUCACCAUCUUCAUAUCUUCAUCUUUUCAUCAUCUUUUCUACUUGUUCAUCCCUAGCCAAGUGCUAGUAGUCGGGAAACAAACGAAGAAUAUGAAAUCGAAACGAGAUUUGCUUGGAACGCAAAUUAGAAAUUAGUGGAUGGCCUCGGGAAAGUGUGUCCGUGGGAAUGUCAAGUCAAGCUGUGAAAUGUUACCUUGUGUUUAGUCCUUAUGUUUGAAAUAAUGUAUUUGGAAACUUGUGUUUUGGUACAAUAAUGUCAAGUAUGGUACUUUUCGAACAAACGUAUGCUUGUAAAUUUACUUUAAACGAAUGUAUGGAUGAACAUCUUCUCAUGGUUCAAAUAUGUUGUUUACUUGAUU